Small nucleolar RNA from Spea bombifrons (plains spadefoot toad), 84 nucleotides. RefSeq annotates it as small nucleolar RNA SNORD100. The record is from RefSeq and is a predicted model, not a curated record. The transcript has a single exon. Lineage: Eukaryota; Metazoa; Chordata; Amphibia; Anura; Pelobatidae.
GGCAUCUAUGAUGAGACUUUGGCUCCCUCUUCUGAAGCAUGUGAGGAAAAUUGCCAAACGUUACCCAAAAAUCUCUGAGAUGCA